UGAUUCAGUGGAACUGGGAUGGGCUC
This 26-nucleotide non-coding RNA is filed under the name Homo sapiens (human). The record is from RNAcentral. Lineage: Eukaryota; Metazoa; Chordata; Mammalia; Primates; Hominidae.